GAAAUGCGAUAAGUAAUGUGAAUUGCAGAAUUCAGUGAAUCAUCGAAUCUUUGAACGCACCUUGCGCUCCUUGGUAUUCCUUGGAGCAUGCCUGUUUGAGUAUCAUGAAAUCUUCAAAGUAAAUCUUUUGUUAACUCAAUUGGUUUCUACUUUGGUAUUGGAGGUCUUUGCAGCUUCACACCUGCUCCUCUUUGUUCAUUAGCUGGAUCUCAGUGUUAUGCUUUGUUCCACUCGGCGUGAUAAGUUAUCUAUCGCUGAGGACACUGUAAAAGGUGGCCAAGGUAAAUGCAGAUGAACCGCUUCUAAUAGUCCAUUGACUUGGACAAUACUUUUAUGAUCUGAUCUCAAAUCAGGUAGGACUACCCGCUGAACUUAAGC
This 378-nucleotide unclassified non-coding RNA is filed under the name plant metagenome. RNAcentral's name for it is "partial contains 5.8S ribosomal RNA, internal transcribed spacer 2, and large subunit ribosomal RNA". The stretch from base 1 to 105 matches the Rfam family "5.8S ribosomal RNA", at positions 50 to 154 of the family's 154-position model. The record is from RNAcentral.